This 424-nucleotide ribosomal RNA is filed under the name uncultured bacterium. RNAcentral's name for it is "bacterial SSU rRNA". It matches the Rfam family "Bacterial small subunit ribosomal RNA", at positions 359 to 775 of the family's 1533-position model. The record is from RNAcentral.
GAAUCUUCCACAAUGGACGAAAGUCUGAUGGAGCAACGCCGCGUGAGUGAAGAAGGUUUUCGGAUCGUAAAACUCUGUUGUAAGGGAAGAACACGUACGAGAGUAACUGCUCGUACCUUGACGGUACCUUAUUAGAAAGCCACGGCUAACUACGUGCCAGCAGCCGCGGUAAUACGUAGGUGGCAAGCGUUGUCCGGAAUUAUUGGGCGUAAAGCGCGCGCAGGCGGUCCUUUAAGUCUGAUGUGAAAGCCCACGGCUCAACCGUGGAGGGUCAUUGGAAACUGGGGGACUUGAGUACAGAAGAGGAAAGCGGAAUUCCAAGUGUAGCGGUGAAAUGCGUAGAGAUUUGGAGGAACACCAAUGGCGAAGGCGGCUUUCUGGUCUGUAACUGACGCUGAGGCGCGAAAGCGUGGGGAGCAAACAG